Molecule: long non-coding RNA, 335 nt
Filed under: Physcomitrium patens
Lineage: Eukaryota; Viridiplantae; Streptophyta; Bryopsida; Funariales; Funariaceae
Description: long non-coding RNA (PPAT_LNC010890)
Source: RNAcentral
GACAUAAAAAUCAUAUAAUUUCAAAUUACUAUGAGUAAGUUAUGAUAGAUAAAAUAAAAAUAAUAGAAAAGUUAAGUGAAUGAUUUUUACCUCAAGGAUAAUUUGCUUAAGAAAUUAGGAGUUUGAACCUCACCAAGGCUCACAAGUAGUAUUUAUUAGUUUUCUAAAGUUGCCUUGAGGCCUUAGUCUUAUCUUCCUACCUAUAUCCAAGGUACUACAAUCCAUAUGAGAAUUAAGAACCUUUCUUCCUACAAGGACUAAACUAGUUGCUGGUCUUACUAUUUUCUACUGAUAAAACUAUUUUUUUUUUAUAUUUUUGACUUCACCGUGGUAUC